This 197-nucleotide unclassified non-coding RNA is filed under the name uncultured Trechispora. RNAcentral describes it as "sequence contains ITS1". The record is from RNAcentral. Lineage: Eukaryota; Fungi; Basidiomycota; Agaricomycetes; Polyporales; Polyporaceae.
ACGUAUCUCUGACGGCGAGGGUGAGCCCUGCUCUGGACCGAAAGGCCUGUCGAGCGGGUGACCCCGAGUCGCUCAACCUUUACAAACCCACCGUGCACUCUUGUCGGCGGUAGGGGCUUUGCGGCCCCGAUGCCGGUUCACAAACACCGAAACGUUUGAAGAAUGUCUAGCGGACUCCGUUCCGCCUAAAUAUUUAA